This 478-nucleotide ribosomal RNA is filed under the name uncultured bacterium. RNAcentral describes it as "partial 16S ribosomal RNA". It matches the Rfam family "Bacterial small subunit ribosomal RNA", at positions 28 to 523 of the family's 1533-position model. The record is from RNAcentral.
GACGAACGCUGGCGGCGUGCUUAACACAUGCAAGUCGAACGGUAAGGCCCUUCGGGGUACACGAGUGGCGAACGGGUGAGUAACACGUGGGUGAUCUGCCCUGCACUUCGGGAUAAGCCUGGGAAACUGGGUCUAAUACCGGAUAGGACCAUUGCCUGCAUGGGUGGUGGUGGAAAGCUUUUGCGGUGUGGGAUGGGCCCGCGGCCUAUCAGCUUGUUGGUGGGGUGAUGGCCUACCAAGGCGACGACGGGUAGCCGGCCUGAGAGGGUGACCGGCCACACGGGGACUGAGGUACGCGCCAGACUGCUACGGGAGGCAGCAGUGGGGAAUAUUGCACAAUGGGCGCAAGCCUGAUGCAGCGACGCCGCGUGAGGGAUGACGGCCUUCGGGUUGUAAACCUCUUUCAGCGCCGACGAAGCGCAAGUGACGGUAGGUGCAGAAGAAGGACCGGCCGACUACGUGCCAGCAGCCGCGGUAA